GGGGGGAGGCCGGAUCCUGGGCUGUGUCCGGGCGCCCUGUGCUCCCGGGGCCUGCACUGUUGGAUUCGCGCUCCCGGGCUGCGCAACCCUCU
This is a non-coding RNA of Canis lupus familiaris (dog), 92 nucleotides long. NCBI's taxonomy places the organism in Eukaryota, Metazoa, Chordata, Mammalia, Carnivora, Canidae. The record is from Rfam.